UACAGAACCGCUGCUUCGACUUUUACUAAGCAGCGCUGCUAACAAUUCUCGCAAAUUUUAAGGCUUUCUAAA
This 72-nucleotide small nuclear RNA is filed under the name Leishmania panamensis. RNAcentral describes it as "small nuclear RNA, U5 snRNA". The record is from RNAcentral. Lineage: Eukaryota; Euglenozoa; Kinetoplastea; Trypanosomatida; Trypanosomatidae.